AGCAAUGUAAGGAUGGAGGGCUGGCCAAGUCCAUCUAUAUGCUGCCAUUUGGCCCCCAUUUCUAACAGCAAUGCAGAGUCCGUAUGAUGUUGGAACCUUCCCAUUUCUUAAAAUCCUGGGCCCUCCUAUUUCUUACAGUAAUGUAAAAUCAGGAGCCUUCCUAUUUUUUACAGCAGUGUAAAGUCCGUAUGAUGUUGGCUCUAAUUUUGGCCCCUAUUUAUGUCGAUCUUG
RNAcentral lists this long non-coding RNA (231 nucleotides) under Elaeis guineensis (African oil palm). RNAcentral's name for it is "long non-coding RNA (EGUI_LNC016870)". The record is from RNAcentral. Lineage: Eukaryota; Viridiplantae; Streptophyta; Magnoliopsida; Arecales; Arecaceae.